RNAcentral lists this ribosomal RNA (497 nucleotides) under uncultured bacterium. RNAcentral's name for it is "partial 16S ribosomal RNA". It matches the Rfam family "Bacterial small subunit ribosomal RNA", at positions 28 to 507 of the family's 1533-position model. The record is from RNAcentral.
GACGAACGCUGGCGGCGUGCCUAAUACAUGCAAGUUGAGCGGUGAAGAUUGGUGCUUGCACCAAUUUGAAGAGCAGCGUACGGGUGAGUAACGCGUGGGGAAUCUGCCUUUGAGCGUGGGACAACAUUUGGAAACGAAUGCUAAUACCGCAUAACAACUUUAAACAUAAGAUUUACGUUUGAAAGAUGCAAUUGCAUCACUCCAAGAUGAUCCCGCGUUGUAUUAGCUAGUUGGUGAGGUAAAGGCUCACCAAGGCGAUGAUACAUAGCCGACCUGAGAGGGUGAUCGGCCACAUUGGGACUGAGACACGGCCCAAACUCCUACGGGAGGCAGCAGUAGGGAACAUUCGGCAAGGGACGAAAGUCUGACCGAGCAACGCCGCGUGAGUGAAGAAGGUUUUCGGAUCGUAAAACUCUGUUGGUAGAGAAGAACGUGGGUGAGAGUGGAAAGCUCAGCAAGUGACGGUAACUACCCAGAAAGGGACGGCUAACUACGUG